RNAcentral lists this ribosomal RNA (793 nucleotides) under uncultured archaeon. Its description in RNAcentral is "bacterial SSU rRNA". It matches the Rfam family "Archaeal small subunit ribosomal RNA", at positions 85 to 879 of the family's 1478-position model. The record is from RNAcentral.
ACGGCUCAGUAACACGUGGAUAACCUACCCUUGAGACGGGGAUAAACCCGGAAAACUGGGUAUAAUACCCGAUAGAUCUCGACUGCUGGAAUGCAUCGAGCUUGAAAGCUCCGGCGCUCAAGGAUGGGUCUGCGGCCUAUCAGGUAGUAGUGGGUGUAGCGUACCUACUAGCCUACGACGGGUACGGGUUGUGAGAGCAAGAGCCCGGAGAUGGAUUCUGAGACACGAAUCCAGGCCCUACGGGGUGCAGCAGGCGCGAAAACUUUACAAUGCUGGAAACAGCGAUAAGGGGACCUCGAGUGCCAGGUUACAAAUCUGGCUGUCGUGGUGCCUAAAAAGCAUUGCAUAGCAAGGGCCGGGCAAGACCGGUGCCAGCCGCCGCGGUAACACCGGCGGCUCGAGUGGUAACCGUUAUUAUUGGGUCUAAAGGGUCUGUAGCCGGCCGGAUAAGUCUCUUGGGAAAUCUGGCAGCUUAACUGUCAGGCUUUCAGGAGAUACUGUCUGGCUCGAGGCCGGGAGAGGUGAGAGGUACUUCAGGGGUAGGGGUGAGAUCUUGUAAUCCUUGAAGGACCACCAGUGGCGAAGGCGUCUCACCAGAACGGACCUGACGGCAAGGGACGAAAGCUAGGGGCACGAACCGGAUUAGAUACCCGGGUAGUCCUAGCCGUAAACGAUACUCGCUAGGUGUCGGCAACGGUGCGACCGUUGUCGGUGCCGUAGGGAAGCCGUGAAGCGAGCCACCUGGGAAGUACGGCCGCAAGGCUGAAACUUAAAGGAAUUGGCGGGGGAGCAC